This 253-nucleotide ribosomal RNA is filed under the name uncultured bacterium. Its description in RNAcentral is "partial 16S ribosomal RNA". It matches the Rfam family "Bacterial small subunit ribosomal RNA", at positions 524 to 776 of the family's 1533-position model. The record is from RNAcentral.
UACGGAGGGGUGCACGUUGCUCGGAAUGACUGGGCGUAAAGGGCGCGUAGGCGGUUCGUACAGUCAGACGUGAAAUUCCCGGGCUCAACCUGGGGACUGCGUUUGAUACGUGCGGGCUUGAGUUCGGAAGAGGGUCGUGGAAUUCCCAGUGUAGAGGUGAAAUUCGUAGAUAUUGGGAAGAACACCGGGUGGCGAAGGCGGCGACCUGGUCCGAUACUGACGCUGAGGCGCGAAAGCGUGGGGAGCAAACAGG